RNAcentral lists this long non-coding RNA (7701 nucleotides) under Apis florea (little honeybee). Its description in RNAcentral is "uncharacterized LOC116415129, transcript variant X1". The record is from RNAcentral. Lineage: Eukaryota; Metazoa; Arthropoda; Insecta; Hymenoptera; Apidae.
ACACGUUUUAAUUUUAUCUUUCUAUUUUCUUUCAGCCGGAUUAAAACUGACGUCAUUAAUUCAGUUCCACGAUUAAAAAAAUUAGAACGAUUUAUGAAAUAUCUAUAAAAAUAGUGACAGAUUCACAUAUAUAUCGUGCUAAAAACCACAAUGAUGUUAUCUCAGUGUUCAUAGAGCGACUAACACUGCGGUUUCCUGUGAGGGUAUUCUUUUGUCGGCUAUGUAAAUAUUCACUGAGAUUACACACACAGUUUUACCCAAAGGGACGUAUCUGCUAAUCCAAUUAUUAUUUUAUGAUAUCGUCAUAUCACCGAUUGCAUUGAUAACGCGAAAUUAUAUUUCAGAAUUCGUUAAACAUUACGUGAUUCUGUGCGAAUAAUGUUUGUUUGAAGAAUUCAAUAAAUUGAUUGGCAAACAGAAAAUAUUAAAAUAUUUGAAAUUUCUGAUGUGUAAUUUUACGAUGGGCUGGAACGAGACGAGGUAAAAAAUAGAUGUUACACAGGAAUUCUUGCGGAAAUGAAAUAAAUGAUCAAAGAUUUGCAAAACAUGUUUUCGUACGGUUGAAAUCCUAAGAAUUGUGAAAUCGAUUCUCAAAAUUAUUACGAAUUUUUAAAUUUAUAUGCGAUGAAUCACAUACAAUAUUUUGCUUCAUCGUGUAAAUAGCUUUAAUUGAAACGUCAGAUAUUUGCGUUAACAGAGAUAAUAUUGGAAUGCAGCUUGUUUGCAUAUCGUUGGUUUUGUCUGGGAAGAAAAAAACUGAUGAGAAAUUUUUGAAGAAAAAAUGGAAUAAUUUAAACAAUAAUUCGAAACGAAUUGAACAAAACAGGAAACGUAUCACGAUACAUGCAAAAUUGAAGUAAAGACACAGAUACAGCAAAUUUUUAUAUAACAAAACAAUAUUAUCUGGAAUUUAAUAGUAAAAAUAAAUGUCAUUGAUAAAAUAAAAUAUCAUUAUUCUCUGUCAGAUGAAUUCCAUAUUCAUGGCAAUAAUAAAUUUUAAAUUAUCUCUUCUAUUCUAGAUAAAAUCAAUCUUAUCUACUUGUUAUAUCAAGUUAAACAUAAACUAUAAAUGAAAUAUUUAUACAUAUAUUAAAAAUUAAUAUAUAAUAUUAACUUAUUAUAAUAUAAUUGUCGAUAACUAAAGUUUCAAGUAAUUUCAAGUAGCCAACAGCUUCGAAAGAAUCGUACAAUACAAUCAGCAUACUGUUACUCUUCUCACAUAUUUUAACAAAGUAUCGGCUUAUUAAGCGUAUUAACAUGUUUUCCAAUACGUGCAACACGCGUUUAACACGUGUUGCUGAGUUCAUCAUGACGAACGAGGUAAAUCUCUCCUGUUUCGUGGCCUAACGUAGGCUGGGUUCGAAUAAAAAGAGACUCUCACGAAGCUAACGAGGCUAUGCAAAGUUUCUUCACUUUCGAAAGAGGCUUUAAUGAAACGACGCACGAAAAACGGGCAUCGACUCGGAGAAACUUUUGCGUUUUCGAAAAGAACCGACUCGAAACGCGGAGAUUAUUAAUCCAUUAAGGAUGGAGUGGUGAAAUAUUUACGCGUGUAAUUAUUCAUCAUUUAUCAAGGAUGAUUCUAAUGCAUUCGAAUGUGAAUAAAUAUUAAUUGUAUUAAUCGACGAUACGUAAAUAUUCAUAAGAUAAGAUAGAGGCAUAGAAAACAUUUCCAUGAUUUAAUGAAAUUUUGUAACAUUGUUGAUUGAAAGAUGAAAUACCAAACCAAAAAUUCUUGGAAUUAUGAUAUAAGCCUCGAUACUUUCGAGAUUGAAAGAGAAAAAAAUUUCUUCUUAUUAAUUGUUUAUUCCAAUAGAAUUAUAUUUUGUGAAAAAGAUAUAUUGUAUCAAAAUUUCUAGAUCUAUUUUUUUUAAUGAAAACAAAAUGACGGAGAUGAUACGAAUUUUCGUAGGAACAAGCAUAUGUGAAACAAUGCGACUUUUCUUUUUUUUUUUUUUUUUUUGUCACGAGUAUUUGUGGAUGCAAUCUCGAGUAAUAAUCACGCCCAAGAUGAAAUCUCGAUGGUACAGACAUAAUCUGCGUCCAAUCUGCCAAUACUGUUAGCUAAUAACACGACAUUAGUCGGUGAAUAUUGCAGCAACGUCGAAAGGAGAUGGUAUAAAUUCCAAAUGAGUAAUUUCGAGGCGUAUUGGCGUUUUAGCCAAUUCAUUGGAAUCGAAUUGAAUCAUCGAAGGAAUGUAAAAACAUAAUUUGAAUCGUGUGUUGAAUAUAAUUGUACAAACGUAAUUUAAGGAUCUAAUUACAAACAUUUCGCGUGAAAAUCUCGUGGUUGAGGAUAUCCUGUUUAUUGGGCAACAAUAUUAUUUUCAUGCGAAUAUUGUUUGGAUAGAGAAUACUUGUUGAAAUUGUAUCUUAAGACUCGAUUACAAGAAAUUACAAAUUACGUGAUAUUGAAUCUUGGCAUUCCUUAAUCUAUUUCAUCUUUAAUUUUAGAAUUUUGAAUGUACUUGAAGUUUAUAUUCGAUAAAUGUAUACCAGUGCCAGUAUGUAUGCAUGGGUUGAAAGUUACAUUCGAUUUCAAGAUGGCUAAUUAACGUUAGAAUGAUCGUAAUUUGGAUUAUGAAAGUUCACGUUGCAUCCUGGUGUAAGCAGUGAGAUAAUUGUAUCGGUGUUUUCUCACGAUUCUUACCUCUGUACUGAGACGCGGCAUGAAAGUGGUAAGAUGCUCCGUCAAGGUCUUCGUCAGCUUGAAGAGGACUUAGGCUCAAAAGUUUUGGCGCCUCGGCGUGGCCACGAAACCAACGCAUUUCUGGAAUAGCAUUAAUAAUAAUGAUAAUUAAACCUCUCAUAUAUAAAUAUUUUUAUCGAAUGGAGCAAAAUUAUUCUUAUUUCUUCUAUUGCCUUUAUCCAAUACGUUAAUUAUAUUGCAUAUAUAUAUGUAUAUUGCAGAAUAUCGAAAGAUUGCAAAGUAACGAUCGAUCGGCAUAAUAAUAAUUUAUAAAUGUGAAACGGGUUACACUUGCGGUGAAUGGAUUUCGCGUGAACGAAUGGCGACAGUUUCCGCCGUGUUCGCUGAACCGAGGCCCUUCCUUUCUAUCUCGCGAUUGCACUUGUUAUUGAUACUGAAUAUUGUAGUAAAAAAAAAAGGAAAAAAAAAAAAAGGACUUGAUGAACGAGCAGCCUUGGCAAAGAAUGGAGGAUGUGAUAAAUUACGAGGCUAUCGUUGUAUCGACUCAUUGCUACGUUUGAUUCAAAGUGCGUCGAUCACAUCGACGACGUAGAUUACACGUAGAUAUUUCGAAAAAAUCAUACAUUUGAAAAAUUCACGUUUCUUUCUUUUUUAUUUUGAUCUAUUGAAUUAUUCAUUGACUAAGAUUCAUCGAUAUACAGGUAAGAGAAAUUUAACAAGUAUCGAUUACGUGAUCGACAAAUUGUAUCCCUGCAAACCAGUGCCUCUUCUUGCGGGCAUUAAAGUCUCCAACACUGUGGCGCUAGCAUCGUUCGCUCCUUCUAAAGUAACAUUACAUUUCAAGAUUUCCCGGCGAGCAUGGAAAUUUUGCGACGCGUAUAAUAAUCCUGUUUCCACGAGGCGGCCGCAUAACGAGAUGAUUAAUACCGCGAAAUCGAGUUAUGCAAGGUGUUAAUGCAUCGAUUAUGUAGCCACCGAGGGAACCGUGGGAGAAAGAGACGAGGGGACGAGAGAGGCGACUUUCUCCGAUGCAAAUAUGUGUGCCGUCUCCACGAUGCUUCUUCACGUCUCAGCUUUUCACUUUUCAUUCAGGCGACUGAUGCCUAUCAAAGAAGAUGAUCAAGAUCGAGGAUCAAGGGUUGGCCUCCCGUCGACAGGAAGUUCACGGUCAAGUGAACUCGACUCGAGAGUGCACGCUUUGUGACACUUGGUCGGUUUAGCGAUCAUCUACUCAGAAAAGUAUGCGGAGGAGCGACAAUCGUUGUAGUUAAAAACUGGAAUCGUAUUUUAUUUCGAGUUUCUUGUAUUGUUUCGACAGUUACGAUUUUAUGAUAUACCGUAUGUAUACAAAGAUAUUCUUUUUGAAAAUAUAAAUUCCUUCGUGACGUUAUGAUAUACUCAACCUGUCAUACGAAUCCCAUCGAAAUUUGAAAUCGACUAAUGCAUUUUCUUAGAAUUUCCAAGAAUAUCAGAAGAAUAUAGAAUUUCUUAGUCGAUUUCGAAUUAAUAUAAAUUAAAAUAGCAGGGAAUUUCGAUGAUUCUAAACUUUGGCACAUAGUUUACGUGUGUUUUAACGUUGAAUGAAUUGCAUGGUUAGAUAGAAAAAUAGUUUUUCUUUUUUUUUUUUUUUUUAGAAUUAUGUGGAACGCGAAUUUUACGCUCCAAUUCUUGGUUUCAAUUCUACAAAGCGGAGAGACUUAAGUAGGUGCAGGUUUUACGUCUGGUUAAAGGAAUCAAGGAGAUUUUGUCUCGUUCUCAUUUAUUAUUGAUGGUCGAGCCUGGUCACGGGUAGAUGAUUCGAGGAACGAUUGGAAAGUUAGAGAGAAGAACAAUUUGCGAUACAAUUGUGUUUGAAAAAUGAUAUAGAAACAGGUAGAUUUUAAUUAUUCGAUUACGGUCCGAAAAGAAACGAAGGAACUUUGUAAUCUUUUUAAAUCGCAAGAAUAUCUCCUUUUCUGUCUUGAGCAAUCGACAAUUGAAAAAAAGUAAAUUAUUAAGAAGAAGGACCAAACAUUAAUGUAAUCAUUUUAGUUUAAUCGAACUUAAACAAAAAUUAUUCUAUCUUCCAUCCUCAACUUCGAAAUUCCACCAUCUUUCACUAUUCAAAUUUGUCACUCAAUCCAAAAAUUUCAACAAUUUCAACAAGAUGAUUCAAAAAAAAACCACUCGUCCACUAAUCUUGCCCACGAAUAAGCGCACAAACAAGCCACUUAUGCACGCGCCUGACGAUAAAUCCCACGUCACGGACCGCGAGUCGUUAAGGGUUUGAAGAAUCUGGAAGCUCCAGUUACCCGUUCGCAGAUUUAUCGUUCCACUUUCGUGGCUGCCGAUUCGUUUCAGCCUCCGGCGUUAAACGUCCCUUCGACGUUCCAGAUUGUAAAUCUUCGUUGCAUCCGUUAUCGAAAAUCGGUAAUACCAGCAGCCAUUUAGCCACAGAUUUCGCGAUAUUCGCGUGGUUAAACUUUGCCAAUAUGAUGAGCCAAGCGAUGAUUGGCCGAUUAUACUCGACCUUUGGGGGGGAGACUUUAAUUUUGCACCAUUUUUAUUUCUGGAACGUGUUUGUACGCGUGCGUUAUACGCGCGUUGUUGUGUGAGUUUAAGAUAUUGGACGAGCAUGAUUUGCAAUUCAAUGGAUGAAAGAUGUGUAAGGUCGAGUGGAGCGGUGAAGGAUUCGUUUAUUUCUUCUUCUUCUUCUUCUAUUAUUUCGCUAAUUUUUUAUUGCUUCGUUUCGCGUGUAAAUUUAGCUUUAGUUUUAAUUUUAGUUUCCUUUUUAUAUAUAUAUGUUAUAUAAGAUAAGAUUCUAAUUUUUUAGAAUAAUAUUAUAUGGAAUUCGUUAGAUUGGGUUGUUAGUUUAUAUAACUAAUGAUGUUUUUUUAUUACUUUUGAAAAGUAAUAAUCAAAAUUAUGCAAGCGAGAGUUUCCCGGCAAUCUUUGAAUAGAUGUCACAUCCGUGUUACGUGUGCAUCAUGGAAUAAAUAUUUAUCACACACACGUUCACUCGAGUAGAGAUAUUGGAAUACGAUUGAUAAUGUUAAAAACGCAAUGAUAAAAAAUAUUAUAUCAUUUUCUUUUUUUAUUGUAUAACACAUGGUUAUAUAUAUAUAUAGCGUGAUAUUUCUAUCAGAUCUGAAGGGGAAUUUUCGUUAUACAGGGACAGGAUAAAUGUAUGAUACGGAUGAGUCAAACGUGAAAUCAAUUUCACGAUAAUUUUCAACCGCGAAGCAUUCUCUGUUGCAAAAACGCGAAAUAGACAAGCUUGUCAUAAUGGAAGUGUGGUAUACACGUAUCUAAAACGCUCGAAUCCAUUAAGUAAUUUAUUCGUCGCGCUUUCACUGAUCUUCCAAGUAAUAAAAUAAGGGAGAUGGCGCGUAGGCAAGGAUCGAACGGAAAUAAAGUGUAACUGAAACGCGAAAAAAAAUUGGAAUCACUUUCUCAACGAGGCAAAUUAUCUCAGGGAUUUUAAAACGAUUGCGCAAUUAUUAAAUAUAAACUCGAUGUAUUGCUGUAUCGUUUUUCCUGUUCUUAUCUAUUUGAAUUACGUUGUGUUAAUUAUACGACCCUUGGAUAAAUUUAAUUUGAGAAAUUCUACGAUUACAUUCAAAAUUAUAGUAUUUUCACUGUUGUACUUUUUUAAACUUGUGACAUUUUUCUGAAUGUUGCACGUUCAACAAAAUUGAAGAAAUAUUCAGUUGGAAUAUUUGGAAAUUAGAAAUCUUUUAAACUAAACCAUUUAAUAAUUUAUUUAACACACAAUUCAAAUAUAUCUUUUCAGAAAAAGGUUUAAAGGUUUAAAUUUUUUAAUAUUUAAAUUAUAAUAAUAAUUCUUAUAUGAGAAAUGUAAUUCAAAUACCAAACUAUGAAUAAAAAGUAUAGAUUACUUAUAUUAAUUCUAUAUCAUAAAAGAACAAGAUUAUAAUUAAUUUUUUAUCAAGUAUCGUAUUACUUAAGAAUGAAAAGAAUUCGUCGAUCGCUCUACAUUCAAAUUGAAUCUCAUUUUCACGAUUGUUUCGACCUGAUCGCAACGAGAUCGGAGUCAAACGGUCUCUGAGUCAUCGAUAAACGUGGUCGAUGAAAGUAGAAAGUAUCCAAAGGGAUCUGGGGGUGGUAGUAUCGAUCUGAAAAACUUUCCUCGGGCUAAGUGAAUCGUACUACCGGGUAAUUGGCCUCGAUCUAUCGAUCUUACGAUCGACUGGAACAACUAGAACUGCAUUUUUAUUAACCAGGUGUUUCGUGGACUUGUAACGCCAAGCGUUUUUCCUCUCCUUUCAAGAACGAAUCGUUUGAGUAAGCGAUAUAUAAUUGCAUUCUAAGAAAUAGUUUUUGAUAGGUAAGAUUGAUAGACUGAUAGAAAAUAUUGGAUGGAAUCUUGCAAAAUUUCAAAUUUUGUUCAGAAAAAUAUUUUACGUGACAUUUGUGUAGAUUUUUUAGUAGAUUAAGAUAUAUUUGAUUGGAAAUUGUAAUAAUUGUAACGAUACAUUUUUAUAUGUAAAAUGGGAGUUUGUGGAAAAGAAUUUUGAACGAAAACUUUCUCCAAACUUUCAUCGAUUAGUGUGCACGAUACGAUCUAUUUUUAUUCUAUUUCUUUCUGUCACAAGCAUAAACUAUUGUAAAACCUUCAAUAAAUCACAAUUAUGGAAACGAUUGAACGAUUCUCUUAAUUAUACUUCCUUAUAUUGUUCGAGAUUGGUCAUUAUUUAGAGACAAUCGACAAACUAAAUUACACUUUUAUACGUCGUAAUUUAGCCGACGGCUAUGUCUAACACAUGUAUCCAUGGUUCCAAAGUGACCCACUUACUUUGCUACAGCAUUCGUUGCACACACAAUCGUUGGCACGAGAUAUAAUUCGAGGUAUAUACGUUCGUGCGUCGCACAAGUUGCGUACAACUCGAUUCUUUUGGGACGAUCGUCUCGGGAAUGUUGAUCGUAAACUACUUUCACACCGAGAAGAAUUCAACCGGCAAUGGUUGCAGCCGGAAAUUUGCAGUUGGAGGUUACAAUGUAUUUGCACGAUCGAUGUUAUGAAGCAUACGUAAGUAUAUAACAUCUAUAUA